GAAAAGACUUGGUCAAAAUCAUAAUCCUAGAUCGAUCAUGACCCCCGGUGGUGUUUGAGGCAGGGUCGAUGAGUGCACGUCUGGAGGUCUCUGGUCCGGCCCCAAAGAUUCCUGAUAUUCAUGGGUUUCAUACUGUUCCCAUAAUUGAUCAAUAAACAGAUCAAUACAUAAACUCACAAGUAAACCAAUUUAAACUGGGUGAAGUACUGUCCAAUUAUAAAAAUACUUAGUGAAGCAGGAAAUUCUAUCAAUAUUCACUGAAAAUGUCGAAUUCCCAGGACAAGUAAAUGGUGUCUGCUUGCUGGUUAUUUGCUUAAGGAGCACAUACUCGGCAUACAUGUAGACACGCAUGUUCUAGGCGCAAGGUCACAGAUGUUCGUCUUACAGGACAAGGCCAUGAAAACACUGGAAAUGGUGAUUGCUGAAUUAAAGCACUAAGUGAAAGGCUGUGAGGAAAGGCCAGGGAGGGCAGUAUCAUUUUGUGCCCUUUGCUCUGUUGCCCUCAGGACGGGUACUUCCCUGAGGACCUCCCACGCUCCUCCCUGGUCGUCAGCCCAUGGCUGCUUCUCUCGAUUAUCCCUUGGACAAUGCAGGGAGCGCUGAGCUGGUGUGAGAAGCCUGCACCCAUCCAUCCUGUGCUGAGCCUGUGCUAGAACCCAGACCACCAUGAGUCAGAGCCCAAACUGUUAUCUUCCUGAGGUAACUGAUUAGAGAUAUUAACGCAUUAUUAGAAAGUAUAUACUGAUUGAUUUUCAGUGUUUUAAAAGAUAGUAAAUAAAAUAAGUAAUUGUUUUUCAUAGUAGAUUAGAAAAACAAAACAAAAGAACAAUUGAUAUUUUCUUUAUUUUAUUUUAUCUGAUACAUAAAACAUAAAAAUUAUACAUAGUGAUUGGGUGCCAUGGCAUGCUC
RNAcentral lists this long non-coding RNA (909 nucleotides) under Chinchilla lanigera (long-tailed chinchilla). RNAcentral's name for it is "lncRNA (ENSCLAG00000024081.1)". The stretch from base 28 to 99 matches the Rfam family "Small nucleolar RNA SNORD113/SNORD114 family". Lineage: Eukaryota; Metazoa; Chordata; Mammalia; Rodentia; Chinchillidae. The record is from RNAcentral.